UGUGCUCACACGGGGUGCCCUUCCAAGGCUGAGAGGCGACGCGCCAACCCGAUGAACCUGAUCCGGCUCGUACCGGCGGAGGGAUGGGGAGCGCCGGGGCC
RNAcentral lists this non-coding RNA (101 nucleotides) under Aureimonas ureilytica. RNAcentral describes it as "TPP sequence". It matches the Rfam family "TPP riboswitch aptamer (THI element)". Rfam says of the family: Vitamin B(1) in its active form thiamin pyrophosphate (TPP) is an essential coenzyme that is synthesised by coupling of pyrimidine and thiazole moieties in bacteria. The previously detected thiamin-regulatory element, thi box was extended, resulting in a new, highly conserved RNA secondary structure, the THI element, which is widely distributed in eubacteria and also occurs in some archaea. The record is from RNAcentral. Lineage: Bacteria; Pseudomonadati; Pseudomonadota; Alphaproteobacteria; Hyphomicrobiales; Aurantimonadaceae.